GAUGAACGCUGGCGGCGUGCCUAACACAUGCAAGUCGAGCGAAGCAUAUGAUAUGAAGUUUUCGGAUGGAUUAGCAUAUGACUGAGCGGCGGACGGGUGAGUAACGCGUGGGUAACCUGCCUUAUACAGGGGGAUAACAGUUAGAAAUGACUGCUAAUACCGCAUAAGCGCACAGUACCGCAUGGUACGGUGUGAAAAACUCCGGUGGUAUAAGAUGGACCCGCGUCUGAUUAGCCAGUUGGCGGGGUAACGGCCCACCAAAGCGACGAUCAGUAGCCGACCUGAGAGGGUGACCGGCCACAUUGGGACUGAGACACGGCCCAA
RNAcentral lists this ribosomal RNA (324 nucleotides) under uncultured bacterium. RNAcentral's name for it is "bacterial SSU rRNA". It matches the Rfam family "Bacterial small subunit ribosomal RNA", at positions 28 to 334 of the family's 1533-position model. The record is from RNAcentral.